AGAGUUUGAUCCUGGCUCAGAAUCAACGCUGGCGGCGUGCCUAACACAUGCAAGUCGAACGCGAAAGCCCCGCAAGGGGUAAGUAGAGUGGCAAACGGGUGAGUAACACGUGGGUGACCUGCCUUCGAGUGGGGGAUAACGUCCCGAAAGGGACGCUAAUACCGCAUGACAUCCUGCCUUUAGACAGGCGGAGAUCAAAGCCGGGGAUCGCAAGACCUGGCGCUUGGAGAGGGGCCCGCGUCUGAUUAGCUAGUUGGUGAGGUAACGGCUCACCAAGGCAACGAUCAGUAUCCGGCCUGAGAGGGCGGACGGACACACUGGGACUGAGACACGGCCCAGACUCCUACGGGAGGCAGCAGUGGGGAAUUGUUCGCAAUGGGCGCAAGCCUGACGACGCAACGCCGCGUGGAGGAUGAAGAUCUUCGGGUCGUAAACUCCUGUCGAGCGGGAAGAACGUUCCGCGGGUGAAUAACUCGCGGAAGUGACGGUACCGCUAAAGGAAGCCCCGGCUAACUCCGUGCCAGCAGCCGCGGUAAUACGGGGGGGGCAAGCGUUGUUCGGAAUUACUGGGCGUAAAGGGCUCGUAGGUGGCCAACUAAGUCAGACGUGAAAUCCCUAGGCUUAACCUGGGAACUGCGUCUGAUACUGGAUGGCUUGAAUUCGGGAGAGGGAUGCAGAAUUCCAGGUGUAGCGGUGAAAUGCGUAGAUAUCUGGAGGAAUACCGGUGGCGAAGGCGGCAUCCUGGACCGAGAUUGACACUGAUGAGCGAAAGCUAGGGGAGCAAACGGGAUUAGAUACCCCGGUAGUCC
Molecule: ribosomal RNA, 809 nt
Filed under: uncultured bacterium
Lineage: Bacteria
Description: bacterial SSU rRNA
Rfam family: Bacterial small subunit ribosomal RNA
Source: RNAcentral